GCAGCUGUAGCUCAGCUGGAUAGAGUACUUGACUACGAAUCAAGUGGUCGCAGGUUCGACUCCUGCCAGCUGCGCCA
Molecule: transfer RNA, 77 nt
Filed under: Halobacteriovorax sp.
Lineage: Bacteria; Pseudomonadati; Bdellovibrionota; Bacteriovoracia; Bacteriovoracales; Halobacteriovoraceae
Description: tRNA-Arg
Rfam family: tRNA
About the family: Transfer RNA (tRNA) molecules are approximately 80 nucleotides in length. Their secondary structure includes four short double-helical elements and three loops (D, anti-codon, and T loops).
Source: RNAcentral